Molecule: ribosomal RNA, 500 nt
Filed under: Staphylococcus aureus
Lineage: Bacteria; Bacillati; Bacillota; Bacilli; Caryophanales; Staphylococcaceae
Also listed under: 2 other names
Description: bacterial SSU rRNA
Rfam family: Bacterial small subunit ribosomal RNA
Source: RNAcentral
GACAGGUGGUGCAUGGUUGUCGUCAGCUCGUGUCGUGAGAUGUUGGGUUAAGUCCCGCAACGAGCGCAACCCUUAAGCUUAGUUGCCAUCAUUAAGUUGGGCACUCUAAGUUGACUGCCGGUGACAAACCGGAGGAAGGUGGGGAUGACGUCAAAUCAUCAUGCCCCUUAUGAUUUGGGCUACACACGUGCUACAAUGGACAAUACAAAGGGCAGCGAAACCGCGAGGUCAAGCAAAUCCCAUAAAGUUGUUCUCAGUUCGGAUUGUAGUCUGCAACUCGACUACAUGAAGCUGGAAUCGCUAGUAAUCGUAGAUCAGCAUGCUACGGUGAAUACGUUCCCGGGUCUUGUACACACCGCCCGUCACACCACGAGAGUUUGUAACACCCGAAGCCGGUGGAGUAACCUUUUAGGAGCUAGCCGUCGAAGGUGGGACAAAUGAUUGGGGUGAAGUCGUAACAAGGUAGCCGUAUCGGAAGGUGCGGCUGGAUCACCUCCUUU